AUUAUGAUAGCCUAAAGGCUCAGGACGCUCGCAUGGAAUGCAAGAGAUCCGGGUUCGACUCCCGGCCGAGAUA
RNAcentral lists this transfer RNA (73 nucleotides) under Acromyrmex echinatior (Panamanian leafcutter ant). It matches the Rfam family "tRNA". Rfam says of the family: Transfer RNA (tRNA) molecules are approximately 80 nucleotides in length. Lineage: Eukaryota; Metazoa; Arthropoda; Insecta; Hymenoptera; Formicidae. The record is from Rfam by way of RNAcentral.